Molecule: transfer RNA, 65 nt
Filed under: Pachydactylus rangei
Lineage: Eukaryota; Metazoa; Chordata; Lepidosauria; Squamata; Gekkonidae
Description: tRNA-Trp
Source: RNAcentral
GAAGUUUAGGUUAAACAAACCAAGGACCUUCAAAGCCCUAAACAGGGAACUACCCCUAACUUCUG